Aedes albopictus (Asian tiger mosquito) is the source of this 3955-nucleotide long non-coding RNA. RefSeq lists it as uncharacterized. The record is from RefSeq and is a predicted model, not a curated record. The transcript is spliced from 2 exons. NCBI's taxonomy places the organism in Eukaryota, Metazoa, Arthropoda, Insecta, Diptera, Culicidae.
UUCGGUUUUGAACUGGAAACAUAAUACAACGCACGCACCCUUUCGGGAUAUAACUAUGGAGUAAUUUCACGCCAUGAAAAUACCCAACAGCAAUCUACAAGAGUUCAAAACAUGUUUGAAAUACUCAAAUCCCUUUGGAGAAAAUAGGACAAACCCCCAUUUGCACCUGGAGAUUUGAAGUAAGCAGAGCUUUUUAGGUCCCACUAAGUCGAUUAUAUAGCUAUAAUUCUAGGGGCAAGGCACUGUGCAAACGAGAGCAACUCUGAGAAAUUCUGAGUUACUCCUUUUAUCGAUGAUCGACGAAAUUUGUUGAAAGACAUCCCUUAAACUGCAAUUUUCAUUCAGCACACGCAACACUUUGGCAGUUUGACAUUGGUGCCAGAUAACACUUUGGCAUAAAUGGGAGAAAUUCUGAGGAACUGUGAGGAAUUCUGAGCAACACCUCGAGCACAGAUUUGCUCUCGUUAGAUCUGUCUCGCCCCUAGCUAUAAUUCUCAAGCGGAAGCUAGAGAUUCGUAACUAUACAAAAGAAUGGUUUAUCCGAAGAUAUUUUGAACUUGAACAGAUCAGAGUUCCAUUCAGGAAUACCUCUUGCGGUCCGCACAGACCGCAGAAGACAAGCUUCUUUCAAAGCAAUAGUUAUGGUAUACCACAAUGGAGGGCGUUGUAGGUACAAAACCACAAUGAAACUCUCUUGGAGUAGCAAUGGAAGCGAGUUAUCCACAAAACGUGGUCGCAACCAGUUAGUACAGGUUCCCUAGUUCGUUGAGCAGGGACGCCUGAAUACGCAAAUUUUGCGAAGGAACACUCAAAAGUGCAAAGAAGGUCAAAUGGAGACUCCUCAUCUGACACAUGCCAAUCAGUCAGCUCAUGACAAAUUCUGCUCAUGCAGAGUUGGGUUAGGUGCAAUUCUAUGUUAAGUUAUCCUUGAACUGUACUACCUAAGUAAUCCAUCCAACUGAAGCAUCUCAAAUUAAUGUUUGAGCUACUUCAGAUGAUGUAAUCAUCGUAGCAAUACUGCCAAAUGCCAGCGAAAAGAUGCUGUAUACAAGAGCUUGCUUGAAGGCAUCCAUAAGGAUAUGUUGACUGUUAACGUUAUUCUAAGAUAUAGCAUGCUCGAGGCAAGAUACUUCAUUUAUAAUGAUAAAAAAAAGCAAACUGGGUUCACAAGGUAACCUAUGCAGACGGUACCCUACGAAAAUGAACUUUUCGAAGUAGAGUCACUUGGGCUACGCACGCUUUUUACGCUGAAAAUUGAUCGGAGGUUUCCUAGCCGUAGCCACUACCCAAACUAGACAGGAUUACACUCUUCACAAUCACAGCACAAAAAGAAAACAUCAACGACAAACCAAAUCGGUGUCAAUUGAAAAACGCCAAUGGCGAAAACGCAUUAAGCGAAACCACAUAGGUAGUAAUGUAAGCUAAUUUACAACAUUUGAAUAAUCCCGCUUUUAUUUAGCCUCAAAUUUGAGACUCAAGAAGGGCAACUGUUUAUCUCGGAGAGACGCAAGGUCCACUGCACUAUUGCUCCGGUUAGUGCAGUAAGGGCAUAAUACUGUGGAGGACGCCCUAAUUCACCACAGGCUCCGUUUGUGGUUAGGUUUUUAUUAUUAUUUCUUGACCCCCCUAACCAUUCAUUCCUUGGCACGGUAAGCAUAAAGCCGCAUAACACCAUGAAUUAGGGGUCACCUGUUUAGUGGACUCUUACCACUGGAUCAGGCGGUCCGUAGUGUUAUUCUUAGCCAAUUGAGACAACCGCUACCGACACUACACAGCUAUCUAGGCUGAUCAGGAAAAGAAGUUAACAUUGAUGGUUAACUUCCAAACGAGCCCAAAAUCAAAAGCCGUCUACGAGGGGGAAUGGGGGUGGUCUGAGAUUACCAAAAUUUAGUUGCUUAGUUUAUGGACAGCGCCCUACCAGUUGAUGCCUAGCUCCAAUGAGCUGUGUGAUAUACUCCAAGGAUGCACCAACAAGUUUAAUUAGAAACUACAAAUUCUCGAAUUCUCCAAAAUUUCCUGGACCAGGAAUUUCACUAAGAAUUUACGCUAAAGCUUCACAAAAAAAAAAACAGAUUUUCCCGACAACUCGCUCCUGUUUUCUCCAAACAUUUUUUUCACCAGUUCAACAAAAGAAUACAGUAACAAAUUUUGAAAACGACGUAUAAUCAAUGCCCAGGUAACCACUAAGCACUGUUCUGAGCAUUAUAACGGCCAUUAAACAGCUUUUCAGUGCUAAGUAGCUCUAUAUAAGCAUUCCUAAUGCUUAUAGGCACUAUAACCAGUAAGAACCAAAUUAAGCCCUGUAAGCCUACAAGCUGUAAAGAAGUUUGUCAGUGCUGUCACAGGGCUUGGAGCACAUGACGUUUAUAUCAAUCAAAAUAGAUUUCGACCAAAACAGACUCGAGUCGGUCAUGAUCAAUACAUUUUAAACAUCCAUGUCGGACGGGAUUAUUUUUGUUGGCAUGUUUAUCGGAAUGGUGUUGUUAAAUAGAUAAUGGAAUUUGGUUAUCUUGAUUAUUCCAUUUUUUUUUCAAUCAAGACAAACUCCAGCUCGUUUCCCUCUUCUUGUGAAACGUUUCCCGACCAUUCAAACAUUGCUUCUCCUGCAUCAAUUCCUGCGUUCGUCACCACCAACCUUACCACUGAAUCAUCCUCAUCCCAUAUCAUUUUCAACCCUCGAAAUGCCCAAACUAUUUUGUUUUUCAUGGUUCAAAUACUAGUUUGAUCACACCAUUCCCAUGGUGCAUUGGUGGAGCAGAUGAGAAAGGCAACGGACUUGGACUUGAUCAGGAACUUGGAGGAAAACAGCUAGAAUCUGGAUGAAGUAGCAAAAAGUAACUUCAAUGGAAGCGAAGGAAGUUAGAAAAGAACAGAAGAUAAACAAUUUUUUUUUUCUUUUUUCUUUGUCUCACUUUUGACAACUUUCGCUCCAGAGACUUGGUAUGAUAUUUUAAAGUUGGCCGUAUAUCAGCCGAAUAAUUCGCCAAAAGUGGCUUUUGAGCAGCUCUAUAAGAGGAUAUAGAACCAAUUAGCUCUGUUAGCCAGGUUCUACAUUCGACUAUAGAGCCGACUUAAUGCCAUUUUUACGGCAUAAUGGUUACUUGGGUAUACUACCUAGCCGAUAAUGUCCGUGCGAGAAGCCAAAUUUGGGUUUUAUGCCGUUUACCCAAAAGUGGGUUUAUUUCAACCCACUAGGGUAUUUCGAAAGUGAACGCUAGGUAGAAAGAACUUUACGAUGGGUUGCAAUUUUCUGCCGGGAUCAAACGGAAACUACACUACAAAAAUUCCAAUGAUUUUUUCUAUAAGUUAAUACACAUGCUUGUCUGAAAAGAUUCAUUCCAACAUGUAUAAGUCACACAUAUAAGCAUUCAAUCAUUCAAAUUUUAUUAUUUAUGUGUCGAUACCACAUAACCAACAUCUAUAGAUUUUCACACAUAACUCCAAUCAGUGGGAAAUGAACCUACGACUAGCAUGAACGUUGUUGUUAUUGCGCCAUUUUUUCAAGGAUCGUGCUACGAAAAGAAUUCUUUGGAGAUUUGCGGGAUCACGGAACAGUCUACGCGAAUCCCUAACAUUUCGGUGGUGCGGCUACAAGGAUCUACAUGUUGAUGCCAGCCGGAACAUGUCGCGGCCAUCUUCGAUAUGCGGGAGGAACAGGAUAGUUUUCAAGAGCAGCACCGAGAGCUGCACCACAACAAGAAGAUUGUGUCAGACCCGAUAAUUUACAACACAUCACCUGGACAGUGGUCUCAGCGGAGCUUCCGCCGACGUGCUAUGCAAACAUCGAUAUGGAACCACAAGUUGCCCCAAUCGACAACUCCAGGCGACUCCACGUUUAAGCUGCUUUUGUUCAAACUUUAUCUACGAAAUUUGUGUUUUAGAAAUAAAUAUUGCGGGUACCAUAACUGUACCAAAACUUUCGCAAUUUAUUGUUUAAAAUAAAUAUUGAAAAGAG